UACAGAGGUCUCAAGCGUUGUUCGGAUUCAUUGGGCGUAAAGGGUGCGUAGGCGGCGCGGUAAGUCGGGUGUGAAAUCUUGGAGCUUAACUCCGAAACUGCAUUCGAUACUGCCGUGCUUGAGGACUGGAGAGGAGACUGGAAUUUACGGUGUAGCGGUGAAAUGCGUAGAUAUCGUAAGGAAGACCAGUGGCAAAGGCGGGUCUCUGGACAGUUCCUGACGCUGAGGCACGAAGGUCAGGGGAGCAAACGGG
RNAcentral lists this ribosomal RNA (253 nucleotides) under uncultured bacterium. RNAcentral's name for it is "partial 16S ribosomal RNA". It matches the Rfam family "Bacterial small subunit ribosomal RNA", at positions 524 to 776 of the family's 1533-position model. The record is from RNAcentral.